This 1219-nucleotide long non-coding RNA is filed under the name Homo sapiens (human). RNAcentral's name for it is "HSALNT0394266". Lineage: Eukaryota; Metazoa; Chordata; Mammalia; Primates; Hominidae. The record is from RNAcentral.
AUAAUUUUAUAAUUCAUAUUUUUAAAUUAUAAAAUAUACUGAAAUAUUAUAUCAAAUUCUGGAUAUCAAAUUUUAUGAUGGGUACUAUCAAUCAUCCAAGAAGAUAAUAAAAAGACUGCAUAAUCUAAAAAUCAUCGGCUGUCAGGAAUGGUUUAAGUGGCCAAGGUAUUUAAGCUGAAGAGAACAAAAAUUAAGGGGAGUCAAUGACAGGUGUUUUCAAAAACCCAAGGGGACCUCAUAGACAGCACAGUUUACACAUUUAUGUGUUUCUCUAAAGCACAGAGCUAUAGCCAAUAUACAAAAAUUAUUGGUAGGCAGGCUUAACAUAUUCUAAUCUUUCUAAAAAUGAAACAGCAAGAGCUUUACUGCCUUCUGAGGUAAGCAGCACACAGAAGUGCUCUCUUUCAGGGUUGCUGUGAAACGAAUUCUUACAUUUGGAAGAAGUUUGCAGUGGAGUAAGACUUCUAUCUAUAGCAGGACUACACUCCACCUGGCCAUGUGUCACUGUGUAUGCAAAAUGUUUGUCACCUGCAAAGGAACACGGCAAGAGAAGAUGGCGAGUAUCUACAAUGACUCGAUGUGAGGCUGAUCAACAUCAUCACGAGUCUAUAAAAUCUUUCUGCUUCCAAGAAAAGUCUCUGUCAACUUACACACCAGACUGCUUUCCUUUCCUAGCAAUCAAGUAUUUUCACUUAGAUAUUAUGUAUAGUCUCAAGUUUUAUAUGUUUCAUCAUCUGAAAAGGUCUAUUUUAAAUUCUAAAUGUUUGCUAAUUUCUGGUUAAGGUUGUCAUGGAGUUUUCUCCUUCUUCAUCUAAAUCAUCUGGCAGUGAAGUUAUUGCCUUAAAUCACCAUAUCUAGCUAACAGUAUAGUGCUGGUAUAAGUCAUCUCUUACUUAGAAAAAAAAAAACGUGUUAAAAAUGUUAACUGCAAAGCACAAAGUGGUAAUGUCAUACUGCCCCUCUAUUUUGGUGCACGAUAAACACAAAACAGCAGGUGUUGAUUUUCUCUGAUAUUCGAGAUUGACAGCUUGUCUCUUUCUUACUCCACUGACCCCCAUUAUGUUUAAUCUACAUUCAUCCAUGACACAUUGCAACCUGCUGAUUUUAUAUGAUUUUAUAGCCACUCUGUAUGUAAAUAAAAUGAGUACAAAAUACAAAACCCCAAUAGUAUAAUUUCUGCCUUCCUAUAAAAUCAACCUGCUCAACUGAAUGCACCUCU